This 373-nucleotide ribosomal RNA is filed under the name uncultured organism. RNAcentral describes it as "bacterial SSU rRNA". It matches the Rfam family "Bacterial small subunit ribosomal RNA", at positions 526 to 896 of the family's 1533-position model. The record is from RNAcentral.
CGGAGGGUGCGAGCGUUGUCCGGAAUCACUGGGCGUAAAGGGCGCGUAGGUGGCUUAGCAAGCGUGUGGUGAAAGCCCGGGGCUUAACCCCGGGUCUGCCGUGCGAACUACUAUGGCUAGAGUACUGUAGAGGCAGGUUGAAUUCCGGGUGUAGCGGUGGAAUGCGUAGAGAUCCGGAAGAAUACCGGUGGCGAAGGCGGCCUGCUGGGCAGUUACUGACACUGAGGCGCGACAGCGUGGGGAGCAAACAGGAUUAGAUACCCUGGUAGUCCACGCCGUAAACGAUGGGCACUAGGUGCUUGGGGGAGCGACCCUCUGAGUGCCGUCGCUAACGCAGUAAGUGCCCCGCCUGGGGAGUACGGCCGCAAGGCUG